Molecule: ribosomal RNA, 441 nt
Filed under: uncultured bacterium
Lineage: Bacteria
Description: partial 16S ribosomal RNA
Rfam family: Bacterial small subunit ribosomal RNA
Source: RNAcentral
CCUACGGGUGGCAGCAGUCGGGAAUAUUGCGCAAUGGAGGAAACUCUGACGCAGUGACGCCGCGUAUAGGAAGAAGUUUUUCGGAAUGUAAACUAUCUUCGUUAGGGAAGUGAAAGGAAAGUACUUAAGUGGGAAGCUUCUGCUAACUACGUGCCAGCAGCCUCGGUAAUACGUAGGGAGCGAGCGUUAUCCGGAAUUCUUGGGUGUAAAGGGUGCGUAGACGGGAAAACAAGUUAGUUGUGAAAUCCCUCGGCUUAACUGAGGAACUGCAACUAAAACUAGUUUUCUUGAGUGCAGGAGAGGUAAGUGGAAUUCCUAGUGUAGCGGUGAAAUGCGUAGAUAUUAGGAGGAACACCAGUGGCGAAGGCGACUUACUGGACUGUAACUGACGUUGAGGCACGAAAGUGUGGGGAGCAAACAGGAUUAGAUACCCCUGUAGUC